Molecule: transfer RNA, 73 nt
Filed under: Hordeum vulgare
Lineage: Eukaryota; Viridiplantae; Streptophyta; Magnoliopsida; Poales; Poaceae
Description: tRNA-OTHER
Source: RNAcentral
GAGUAGCUAGCGCAGUGGCCUGUGCGUUGGGGUGUCGACCAGCAGGUCGUGGGUUCGAUUCCCUCACCCCCCC